Molecule: ribosomal RNA, 429 nt
Filed under: Gemmatimonadota bacterium
Lineage: Bacteria; Pseudomonadati; Gemmatimonadota
Description: Gemmatimonadetes bacterium partial 16S ribosomal RNA
Rfam family: Bacterial small subunit ribosomal RNA
Source: RNAcentral
UAGGGAAUCUUCGGCAAUGGACGAAAGUCUGACCGAGCAACGCCGCGCGAGUGAAGAAGGUAUUCGGAUCGUAAAACUCUGUUGUUAGAGAAGAACAAGGACGUUAGUAACUGAACGUCCCCUGACGGUAUCUAACCAGAAAGCCACGGCUAACUACGUGCCAGCAGCCGCGGUAAUACGUAGGUGGCAAGCGUUGUCCGGAUUUAUUGGGCGUAAAGCGAGCGCAGGCGGUUUCUUAAGUCUGAUGUGAAAGCCCCCGGCUCAACCGGGGAGGGUCAUUGGAAACUGGGAGACUUGAGUGCAGAAGAGGAGAGUGGAAUUCCAUGUGUAGCGGUGAAAUGCGUAGAUAUAUGGAGGAACACCAGUGGCGAAGGCGGCUCUCUGGUCUGUAACUGACGCUGAGGCUCGAAAGCGUGGGGAGCAAACAGG